CGAUGUGUCUCCACCUUGUCGUGGUGAGGAAGCUUACGACACUGCUGAGGAUAACAUUUCCUUAUAGCAGAUGUCAAACUAAGAGAGACACCUAAUUAUGUAUUAUUUUCGUCAUAAUUUCCAAUAAAAUUGGUUUUGAACUUUUUUUUUUAAUAAAUGAAGAAAUAAUGGUUCAAAAUAUUACCAAAAAUUACAUUUCUUGAUGUGCCUCAACCUUCUAAUUUGGAAGCUUACGACAGGGCUGAGGUGGACAGUUUCUUCAAGCAGAUGUCAAACUAAGACAUCACAUAUCGUAUUUUUAUCAUAUAUUUCUAAAAAAAAAAUAUAUGAAGUUGACUUUCAACCUUGUACAGCUAGAAAAGAAGCACAAAUAAUACCUCUAGAAACUACAUUCCUCGAUGUGUCUCCACCUUGUGGUGAAGUUUACGACACUGCUGAGAAAACAUUUGCUUAAAGCAUAUGUCAAACUAAGAAAGACACCAUUAUUUUCGUCAUAAUUUCCAAUAAUAUUGCUUUUAAACCUUUUGAACAUAAUGGUACAACAAAUUACAUUUCUUGAUAUGUUCGCACCUUGUAUUGAGGAAGCUUACGACGCUGCUGGUGAGAACACUUUCUUCAAGCAGAUAUUAAACUAAGACAUUUCAUUUUUUAUCAUAUUUUCAAAAAAAAAAAAUUUAUAUAUAUGCAACCCUUAUAUAACACAAAAUAUUAAUUCUAGAAACUACAUUCCUCUAUGUGUCUCCACCUUGUCGUGGUGAGGAAGUUUGCGACACCGCUGAGAAAAACAUUUUCUUAAAGCAGAUGUCAAACUAAGAGAGACACCUAAUUAUGUACUGUUAUCGUCAUAAUUUCCAAUAAAAUUGAUUUCGAACCUUUUUUUUUGUUGACUAAAUAAAGAGAUAAUGGUACAAAAUAUUACCAAAAAUUACAUUUCAUGAUAUGUUCCCACCUUGUAUUGAGGAAGCUUAUGACACUGGUGAUGAGAACACUUUUUUCAAGCAGAUGUCAACGUAAGAGAGACAUCUCAUUUUGUAUUUUUAUCAUAUAUUUUCAAAUAUAUAUAUACGAACCUUAUGCAACCAGAAAAGAAACACAAAAUAUUAAUUCUGAAAACUACAUUCCUCUAUGUGUCUCCACCUUGUCGUGGUGAGGAAGUUUACGACACUGCUGGGAAAAACAUUUUCUUAAAGCAGAUGUCAAACUAAGAGAGACACCUAAUUAUGUACUGUUAUCGUCAUAAUUUCCAAUAAAAUUGAUUUCGAACCUUUUUUUUUGUUGACUAAAUAAAGAGAUAAUGGUACAAAAUAUUACCAAAAAUUACAUUUCAUGAUAUGUUCCCACCUUGUAUUGAGGAAGCUUAUGACACUGGUGAUGAGAACACUUUUUUCAAGCAGAUAUCAAACUAAGAGAGACAUCUCAUUUUGUAUUUUUAUCCUCUAUUUCCAAACAGAAAAAAUACGAAGUUGACUUUUAACCUUAUACAGCUGAAAAAAUAACACAAAAUAUUUCUAGAAACUACAUUCCUUUGCACCUUGUCGUGGUGAGGAAGUUUGCGACACUGCUGGGAAAAACAUUUUCUUAAAGCAGAUGUCAAACUAAGAGACACCUAAUUAUGUAUUAUUUUCGUCAUCAAUUUCAAAUAAAAUUGGUUUCGAACCUUUUUUUUGUUGACUAAUUAAAGAAAUAAUGGUUCUAAGUAUUACCAAAAAUUACUUUUCUUGAUUUGGCCCAACCUUCUAAUGUGGAAGCUUACGACACGGCUGAGGUGAACACUUUCUUCAAUCAGAUGUCAAACUAAGACAUCACAUUUCGUAUUUUUAUCCUAUAUUUCCAAAAAGAAAAAAAUACAAAGUUGACUUUUAACCUUAUACAGCUCAAAAAAUAACACAAAAUAUUUCUAGAAACUACAUUCCUCUGUGUCUCCACCUUGUGGUGAGGAAGCUUACGACACUGCUGAGAAAAACAUUUUCUUAAAACAGAUGUCAAACUAAGAGAGACACCAAUAUUUUCGUUAUAAUUUCCAAUAAAAUUGCUUUUAAACCUUUUUCGACUAAAUAAAAAUAAAAUGGUACAAAAUAUUACCUAACAUUAUUUCUUGAUAUGUUCCCACCUUGUAUUGAGGAAGCUUUCUUCAAGCAGAUGUCAAAGUAACAGUGACAUAUCAUUUCGUAUUUUUAUCAUAUAUUUUCAAAAGAAGUAUACGAAGUUAGUUUUGAACCUUAUACACCUAGAAAAUAAACUCAAAAUAAUAUUUCUAAAAACUACAUUCCUCGCUGUGUCUCCACCUUAUGGUGAGGAAGCUUACGACACUGCUGAGAAAAACAUUUUCUUAAAACAGAUGUCAAACUAAGAGAGACACCAAUAUUUUCGUUAUAAUUUCCAAUAAAAUUGCUUUUAAACCUUUUUCGACUAAAUAAAAAUAAAAUGGUACAAAAUAUUACCUAACAUUAUUUCUUGAUAUGUUCCCACCUUGUAUUGAGGAAGCUUUCUUCAAGCAGAUGUCAAAGUAACAGUGACAUAUCAUUUCGUAUUUUUAUCAUAUAUUUUCAAAAGAAGUAUACGAAGUUAGUUUUGAACCUUAUACACCUAGAAAAUAAACUCAAAAUAAUAUUUCUAAAAACUACAUUCCUCUCUGUGUCUCCACCUUGUCGUGGUGAGGAAGCUUACGACUCUGCUGGGAAAAAUAUUUUCUUAAAGCAGCUGUCUAACUAAGAGAGACACCUAAUUACGUAUUAUUUUCGUCUUAAAAAUAUUGUUUCAUCAAUAAAAAAAUAUAUAAAAUUGCUUUUGAAUCUCUUUUGACUAGAUAAGAAAAAAAUUAUAUUUUAUAUAGUUAGAUUCAAUUGAGGCAGGCUUACACCCGGAAACGUGAAUCUAUACAUAAUCAUGAUAUGGAUUUAGUACUUGUGUGUGUCGCAAUGUUAUUGCAAAUAUAAUGCAUUAAAAUUUGAAUUUAAAAAAAAUAUUACCUAAUUUUCAGAAUUGCAACCCGCUGUUUCAAAGAAUUAUAUUUUCUUCGUCUGUAAAAUUUCUCAGAUCAUCCCUAACAUACCAGUGCGGCUUCAGAAGAUUCAAACUUCUAUUAGCGUCUGUGGUGUUUUGCAAAACACCUCUUAUACGCAUUAUUUCUAAAAACAUAUAUAAUGAUAAUAAUUAAUACAGAUACACGCAUUCAUAUAAAUCAAGUACGUUGUUUAACAAAACGUAGAAUAUGUGAAGAAAAAAAUAUAAACAUCUGAGGACUAAACUGUCUCGGACUCUCAAGAGGAGUACUGGGUCGUGGACAACGGUAAUAUGGCUUUGUCCACCACGUUUAAACGAUUCCAUAGUACGACUUUCGGAACUAUAACUCCCUGUUCGAAAGCAUAUCUAUUUCUAUGCGUUGACUUUAAUCCUCACUAAAGCACAAUUUAUUUAACUUUUCAAAUUCUCCAAUUUGAUUGAAAGACAUUAGAAGCUUUAUCCCCUUGGGUUUUAAAAUAUCUCUUAUAUUUCCAAGUUUUGUUUGUGUGUGUUCAACUGGGAUACAGACAAGCUGCUACGCAAGAAAGAAAUCAAUUCUGAUGAAUACAAUCGACAUUAAUUAAUACUUUUUUUUUCUAGUUAGCAGGCAGGUCGAUGAAACCACAAACACCUCUGUAGUCUACUCUUUAAUUUCUAAAAUGUAAAUCUAUAUGGAUUCUUUGUUUAUUUAUCCAACCGCUACCAUUUUUUUAAAAAAAAUUCUCAAUCGAGUUCAAUAUAUUGAUGAAUGCUUUGUCUACUACUGGCAUAAUCUGAAAACUGGAUAGUAUUCGAUCAGCAUAAUCGAACGUUAGAUUUAGCUCAUUUAUUUCAUCUUCAUCAAUCACUUUGCUAUAUAGAACAUUCAAGCAAAUGAUGAACUGCAGUUACACUUCCGGGUAACUAUUUAUGACUAUCUAUUAUGAGAGAAGAGUGAAUAAAAAUUAAGAGAGGCGAGAUUUUAAGUGAAGAUGAAGAGAGGAUAAAGUCAGUGAAAACAACAAUUUAAAAUUUGCUUUGCCGUUCGUCGCUGCGUUUAUUUUUAAUGUGACUGGUAUUGUUUCUAAUUAAAGAAUCCAAAUUAAAAGUUAUAAUUAUAUUUUAUUUACUUAAUCAUUAUACUAUCAUAUAAGGAGGAGGAUGACCACACUUACCUAUAGCUGCUCGUAUUGAGAGUCUCGCUUGAAAUCGGACUGAAUUGUCUGUAUUGUGCGUAUUUCCUCUUUUUAUGGAGUUAAUUUAUACAUUUUAUUUCAAGGAGUCAAACAUGAUCUCGUGGUCUUAUUCAACAUCCGACGGUCGACAAAUCAAACAUAAUCUUGUGACAAAUUUCUAGAAAGUUAAAAGUUCAACUGACCAUUGUAAUUCGAUUGCGAGAUGAGAUCACGGGAUCUUAAUCAACUGUUUAAUUAGCUAAAGAUUAACAAGUUUGACGGCGAGAAUUGUCACAAGGCAACGUCGUGACAUUUACAAUAUUAUAUACAUUAUAUUUAGCGGUUAAAAAAAGAGUAGUGCUUACCAGAUAUAAAUGUAGUAAUGGUAUAGCCGUCUAACUCAUCCAUGAACUCCCCUAGAAAAUUUCCGAGUGCGGGAUUAUUAUUUCCAUCUUGAGCGUAGAUGAUUGAAUCGGUAUCAUGACAUAGUACCGAUUCUCCAAGCUUCGUAAAGCGUGAGGAUAAUUUAAACCACACGCUUGGUGUGCGAAUCCCCUUAUGUAUCUUUCGUUAAAAUGACAGACCCUCACUUUUAUUUCACAGUAGACCGCCGCAAAUUUUUACAUCGGAAUUUUUUGAAAACAUUUUUAGCAUGCAUAUAUUCAUCAUCACUUAUAGGUUCAUUAUUCAAAAUGUUAAAUAAAUGACGCUUUAGACGGUUAGCGAGUCUCUUGAAGUUUAUUAAUAUCGUCUAAAUAUGAAUAUGGAAAAAAAACAUUUUCUCAACAACAAAUUACUAUUUUCCUUGUCUUUGAAAAACUUGUGAAAAAUUUUGAAGUCGUGUCCAGAUUCAAUUAAAUUUUUUACUAAAAUGUCCAAAGAAGUGUUUAGAAACUGGUACGCGUCUAUGAUUUUGAUCGCAUCUAAACUGAUAGUGGUAAAUUUCUCCAAGUUAACUGGUAUGAUUUUUAUUUGCUUAAAAAGGUUUGCAGGAAGAUUUUUCAAAAUUAGAUGCGUAUCAUAACUUUUCGAAUUAUGGAUGACGAGCGGAAUGAAGUACGUCGUACGAUAAUUUAAAUGACACUCUUGGUGUGCUAAUCCUCGUAUGUAUCCUUCCUUUAAAUGACAAUGGUCCCUCACUUUUAUUUCACCUUUUUUAAAAGUCUUGUUGCAUAUGUGACACACAUUUGGAUCGAUAUAUGCAUCAGGAUUGCCUCUCAUAGGCGCUAUACCCGUCAUUAAUUCCAAAAUUUUGUUAGAUAUUUCUCUCAGAGUUAUGAGAAACGUCUCUAUUACGUUGGUACCCACAUUAAAUUCGUGGAAAAUAGGAUUUGAGUCAUUAUCUAAAACAAGCAUAGAAUAACUGACCGGCUCGUGUCGUCCUACGUGCAUAGUAAAACUUGUACUGGACGAAGGAGCAACCGAGUACAAUUUUGUUGUCAAACACUCAAAAUAUGCUUACACUACAUAUGGAUGCCAUGACAUUUGUGUUAAAUUGGAAAAUUUAAGCAUCUGAGAUUUUUUAGGCAUAGAAAUUUUUUGCGGUUUAUUAUUCAAACACAUCCGCUUAUGAUAUAUCAUGGUUUCGGGUCUUUAAAAGCUGCUAAAACAGCGUUUGCAACAAUAGUGAGUCCCAUUUUUUUCACACAUGAAACGAUUAAAAUUUUUUAUAAGAAAAUAAUGAUUUCUAUAGAGUAACAAGUCGAUUUCUAUGAAUGAUUUUCCAAGUUCACUGAUUCGUAUGGGUAAAACUUGUCCGUCCGUGAAACCGUAAACGUUUAUUUUAAGAUUGUUUUGCUUUUCAAAUUUCGAUAUUUUAUUAAGGGUGAUGGGAAACUUUAUACCGGCAACAUCAAAGUUUUUCAAAUAUCUAGUAUAUUUGGAUUUUCUUAUUGCAUUAACUCGACAUGGAUACAAACAAGCGGCUACGCUGUAAAGAAAGCAUUGGUUGUCGUUGCAAUCAAUAUUUAUAACGGCCUUUUUAUUUCUUAACUUUUUGGGGAGGACGAUGUGUCCGCAACCACCUCUUAAACUGGCAUAGUUGCCUAAAUGAACAUCGAUGUAAGAAACCUGUUUGAUAACCCACCCGCUUCCGUUCCUGACAAAGUUAUCUAUAGAAGUCAAAAUUUUUGUAAAUGCGCGAUCUAUAGCUUCGAAAAUUUGGAAACGAGACAAAAUUCGUUCUGCAAAUGAGCAAAAGUAGAAACUCUGUAUAAGUUCGUUAUCCUCGUCUUCAUCGUUCAUUAUUUUAGAAAAAAUAACGUUCAAACAAAUAAUUAAGCGCAACCUUAAAACAGGGCUCUGGUCUAUGAGGUUAAAAAUUAGAGCUCGGGCUUCGUUAUAGAGUACAUGAGGAUCACCAUAAUUGGUGAAAGCUCUGUAUGUGCGCGUAAAUCUCCCGAAGGACGAUCUUCGCAUUUCGAAAUUCAUUAUUUUUUUAAACAAAUACAAAUUUUUAAAAGCAAACAGUUAAUAAUCAAAAUACAUUAAUACAGUCAAUAGCACUUUAGAUUUAAAAACAAAUAGAGUUUUAAAGAAUACACAUACAAUAACAGGUAGAUAUUGUCACUUUAGAUAUUUAAAAUUCAUUAUAACACAUAAGCAAAAAUUAUGUCACUUUAGAAGAUGUAUCAUGUUAAAAAAAAUGGGUUAUAAACAUUUUGUAUAUAAUAAUUUUUUCAAAAUAAAACUCUCAAAUUUCUCAAUCAGGCAAUAAAUUUAUUGCGAGGUAUAUUGAGCAAUGUGCUCGUGCAAUCUUUCGAUUGCCAGUUUGAAUUUAGAUAUUUGAUCAAUGGGGAAAUUAAGGCGAUUUUUUAUGUCGCCUACGUCACCGGUUUUUCGGAGACCCACGUAUUGAACCGAACGGUACUCGGUUAUUUCGAUGAAGAGACCUUUUCCGACGUUUAUACUGAAAUUUGGAACUUUCGAAGACUCAUCCGGAUAUUAGUAGUAUAUAUGUGGGAUGUUUUGACUCAGUCUGACGUGUUCUGACUCACUUUCAGUC
Molecule: non-coding RNA, 7161 nt
Organism: Parasteatoda tepidariorum (common house spider)
Lineage: Eukaryota; Metazoa; Arthropoda; Arachnida; Araneae; Theridiidae
Source: RefSeq, a predicted model, not a curated record